AGAGUUUGAUCCUGGCUCAGGAUGAACGCUGGCGGCGUGCCUAAUACAUGCAAGUCGAACGGGUGUAGCAAUACACUAGUGGCGAACGGGUGAGUAACACGUUGGUGACCUGCCCUAAAGAGGGGAAUACCACUUCGAAAGGAGUGACAAAACCGCAUAAGCUAGUGCUAGUUAGAGAGGCAUUAGUAAAAGAGCAAUCUACCUUAGGAGGGGCCUGCGGCCCAUCAGCUAGUUGGUGAGGUAAAAGCCCACCAAGGCGAAGACGGGUAGGGGACCUGAGAGGGUGAUCCCCCACAAUGGAACUGAAACACGGUCCAUACACCUGCGGGUGGCAGCAGUAGGGAAUAUUGCUUAAUGGGCGAAAGCCUGAAGCAGCAACGCCGCGUGAACGAAGAAGGCCUUCGGGUCGUAAAGUUCUUUUACGUGGGAUGAGGAAGGACAGUACCACGAGAAUAAGUCUCGGCUAACUACGUGCCAGCAGCCGCGGUAAAACGUAGGAGACGAGCGUUAUCCGGAUUUACUGGGCGUAAAGCGCGUGUAGGAGGCGCUACAAGUUGGAUGUGAAAGCUCCCGGCUUAACUGGGAGAGGUCGUUCAAGACUGUAGUGCUAGAGUGAGGCAGAGGUAGAUGGAACUCCGGGAGUAGUGGUGAAAUGCGUAGAUAUCCGGAAGAACACCAGAGGCGAAAGCGAUCUACUGGGCCUAAACUGACACUGAGACGCGAAAGCCAGGGUAGCAAACGGGAUUAGAGACCCCGGUAGUCCUGGCCGUAAACGAUGUAGACUGAGCGUUGGUUGGGUAAAACCAAUCAGUGCUGAAGCAAACGCGAUAAGUCUACCGCCUGGGGAGUACGGUCGCAAGAUUAAAACUCAAAGGAAUUGACGGGGGCCCGCACAAGCAGCGGAGCGUGUGGUUUAAUUCGAUACACGAAGAACCUUACCAGGGUUUGACAUACAAGUGGUAGUGAAGCGAAAGUAGAACGACCCUUCGGGGAGCUUGAACAGGUGCUGCAUGGCUGUCGUCAGCUCGUGUCGUGAGAUGUUCGGUUAAGUCCGCUAACGAGCGCAACCCUUGUUGUGUGUUACACGUAUCACGCAAGACCGCCGGUAGAAAGCCGGAGGAAGGUGGGGAUGACGUCAAGUCAGCAUGGCCUAUAUAUCCUGGGCUACACACACGCUACAAUGGUCGGUACAAUGGGUAGCUAAGCCGCGAGGCGGAGCCAAUCCUAAAAAGCCGGUCUCAGUUCAGAUUGCAGGCUGCAACUCGCCUGCAUGAAGAUGGAGUUGCUAGUAACCGCAGGUCAGCGAUACUGCGGUGAAUACGUUCCCGGGCCUUGUACACACCGCCCGUCACGUCAUGGGAGUUGGCAACACCUGAAGUCGGUAUCCUAACCGAAAGGGGGGAGCCGCCAAAGGUGGGGUCGAUAACUGGGACGAAGUCGAAACAAGGUA
RNAcentral lists this ribosomal RNA (1450 nucleotides) under metagenome. RNAcentral's name for it is "bacterial SSU rRNA". It matches the Rfam family "Bacterial small subunit ribosomal RNA". The record is from RNAcentral.